AUUGCAAUUGUGAAUAAAAUCUGCUUUAUCAGAGAUACCGUCCUAGAAAAUUAUUUGGAUAUUUCCUACAAGACUAUAUUGAUAACGCAGGAAAAUCACCCCCUAUAUCAUACCACUACUACUGCUGCUAUAUGCAAUACAAGAAGUUACAAAGCAAUACCAAUAAGUAAGAAGCACACAAUCCCAGUUAUUAUAAAGGCUGGAUGCUAUUUUCUGCCUUGAGAUGAGGUCAAAGGUAUCAUGCUGGAACCCACGUAAGGCCAGUCCAUAAUCUUUCUUGUGCUGUGUCUUCCCAUAUUCUGCUUUUUGUUUAUUAGGAAUAAAUUUCAUGUUAGAUGAGUAUGCUCAAUGAUAGCUUAUUCAGUGGGAGAAUGAUGAAUGCCUGUAAUAUGUCUAACCUCCCAUUCUUGGAGGAAAGUUCGUGUGGCCUUCGAAGUAUUUGCAGGUCCGUUAUUGUCUUUAACCAAGUUACGCACAGGCUGCAGAGAUGCAGCAGCAGAUGACGUAGGCGAGGCACAGGAAGGGAGCGUCAUGGUGAACGACGUGGGCGGGGCGGAGGGCGGGGGCGGUGCCGCGAACGUUGGGGGUGGAGCGGAUGGUGAAAGCGCGACGAUCAUCACGGGCCGGGCCAAAGGCAGGAGCGGAAUGAGUGCCGGGGGCGGAGCUGGGGGCAGCGGCGACGGGGGGGGGUUGCGAUUUCUCUUCUCCGCGGUCAGGGAUGGGGUCGGAGCUGCUAAUCGAAUCCGGACCAGGGCUGUUUUCUGCACCGAGGGCAGCCGUUGGGCCGCUAUCUGCGCAGCCGCAGCCUCCUCUACGGUAAGCUCCUGUUUUGCCUGCCCGGCCCCUUCUCUAAUCACCGGCCUCGGUUGCUCUUGCUCCACCCCCACAGCACCCCCUCCUCCCCCCGCAUACAGUGGAGGGGCCAUAGGUGCCGUUACGGAAACAGCGGUGGGUAUAGGCACCAUCCCGGGUACAUACGAGAACACUGGUGCAGCCCCAGUAACCCUCCAAUUAGACGCCGCGGGAGGCCACGUAGGCGCCGCCCAAGGUACAUCAUCCUCUGCUCCCGGCACGACUCCUCUGGUCCCUCCGCUCCUUCCAGAUGUAUCCGCCUCCAACUCCUCCUGUUGCCCAGCCUCUGAUUCCGCCCUACUCCCCUGUUCAACUUCCGCUGCAUCCUCCUCACCCCUUUUCGCAGGCUCCUUCCCUGACUCCUCACCUUCCUCCCCAUGCUGA
This 1236-nucleotide long non-coding RNA is filed under the name Phasianus colchicus (ring-necked pheasant). RNAcentral describes it as "lncRNA (ENSPCLG00000015303.1)". Lineage: Eukaryota; Metazoa; Chordata; Aves; Galliformes; Phasianidae. The record is from RNAcentral.